This 440-nucleotide ribosomal RNA is filed under the name uncultured bacterium. RNAcentral describes it as "partial 16S ribosomal RNA". It matches the Rfam family "Bacterial small subunit ribosomal RNA", at positions 338 to 795 of the family's 1533-position model. The record is from RNAcentral.
CCUACGGGUGGCAGCAGUGGGGAAUAUUGCACAAUGGGGGAAACCCUGAUGCAGCAACGCCGCGUGAGUGAUGACGGCCUUCGGAUUGUAAAGCUCUGUCUUCAGGGACGCUUAUGACGGUACCUGAGGCGGAAGCCACGGCUAACUACGUACCAGAAGCCGCGGUAAUUCGUAGGUGGCGCGUGUUGUCCGGAUUUACUGGGCGUAAGGGGAGCGUAGGCGGACUUUUAAGUCAGAUGUAAAAUACUCGGGCUCAAGUUGAGUGCUGCAUUUAAAACUGGAAGUCUAGAGUGCAGGAGCGGAGAAAGGAAUGCCUAGUGUAGCGGUGACAUGCGUAGAGAUUAGGCAGAACACCAGUGGCGAAGGCGAUUCUCUGGACUGUAACUGACGCUGAGGCUCGAAAGCGUGGGGAGCAAACAGGAUUAGAUACCCCAGUAGUC